GCCUUCGUGGUGUAGUGGUCAGCUCCCUCGACGUGUAACCGAGAGGUCCGUGGUUCGAUUCCCGGCGAGGGCA
This is a non-coding RNA of Stegodyphus mimosarum, 73 nucleotides long. NCBI's taxonomy places the organism in Eukaryota, Metazoa, Arthropoda, Arachnida, Araneae, Eresidae. The record is from Rfam.